This 429-nucleotide ribosomal RNA is filed under the name Pseudomonadota bacterium. RNAcentral's name for it is "Proteobacteria bacterium partial 16S ribosomal RNA". It matches the Rfam family "Bacterial small subunit ribosomal RNA", at positions 355 to 776 of the family's 1533-position model. The record is from RNAcentral. Lineage: Bacteria; Pseudomonadati; Pseudomonadota.
UGGGGAAUAUUGGACAAUGGGCGAAAGCCUGAUCCAGCCAUGCCGCGUGUGUGAAGAAGGUCUUCGGAUUGUAAAGCACUUUAAGUUGGGAGGAAGGGCAGUAAGCGAAUACCUUGCUGUUUUGACGUUACCGACAGAAUACGCACCGGCUAACUCUGUGCCAGCAGCCGCGGUAAUACAGAGGGUGCAAGCGUUAAUCGGAAUUACUGGGCGUAAAGCGCGCGUAGGUGGUUCGUUAAGUUGAAUGUGAAAGCCCCGGGCUCAACCUGGGAACUGCAUCCAAAACUGGCGAGCUAGAGUAGGGCAGAGGGUGGUGGAAUUUCCUGUGUAGCGGUGAAAUACGUAGAUAUAGGAAGGAACACCAGUGGCGAAGGCGACCACCUGGGCUCAUACUGACACUGAGGUGCGAAAGCGUGGGGAGCAAACAGG